Molecule: long non-coding RNA, 652 nt
Filed under: Homo sapiens (human)
Lineage: Eukaryota; Metazoa; Chordata; Mammalia; Primates; Hominidae
Description: HSALNT0406469
Source: RNAcentral
AGCGUUGCAGCUUGCAUGUGGCAGGGAUGUAGGGUGAAGCUGUGCAGGGCAAAAGACAGGUCAGUUCCCGCUGGAAGUGCCCCACUGGGGGGCCUCGGUGUGUCUCUUUCCCCAGCACUGGCAUGGCACAUUUUGACCUGAGCAAUGGUGAGCUGCCCGGAAUACGAACAGGAGGAAGAGAACCUUCCCCAGGCAGCAUGUGAGGCUGGGGUGGCACUCGACACAGGACAGCAGGCAAGGACAUGCCGCCCUCCAGGCUGAGGGUCUUGGGAGCCUCCCCUCCCAGCCCCUGCUGUGGCCUCCCCCUGGGCCCUGGCAUGGGAGGAGUUAAGCUGCCGCGGGCACCUUGGCACAUUGCGCUGCCCAGAGUGUCCGGCUCCCCACCCCCACUGCUUUUCUUCCUUUUUGCCUUUUUCCUUCUUAAUUAAUCAUACGCUGCUGCCCAAUUUAAAUAUGGAAAUGCCCAGGCCGAGGCGAUGCAAUUAUUCAUGAGGGCCGGGCGGCUGUCCGGGGCUCUCGGGCUGUGGGGAGUACCGUGGCAUCGCCUCCGUUCUGAUGUGUGUGAAAUUAUGUGCACAAAAGGCGCCUCCUUAUCUGGGAGUGUGAACUAAAUAAAUAAAUAAGGGCUUUUGUUUGUUUGCCGGCUCCUGCA